Long non-coding RNA from Bombus impatiens (common eastern bumble bee), 216 nucleotides. RefSeq lists it as uncharacterized. NCBI's taxonomy places the organism in Eukaryota, Metazoa, Arthropoda, Insecta, Hymenoptera, Apidae. The transcript has 3 exons. The record is from RefSeq and is a predicted model, not a curated record.
AUGAAGAUUCUCUUAACACGUUGACUGCCACGACACCCGUAUUCGGAUGUCAGCAAAGUUUCUGGUUAGGCCGCGUAACCCAUAUUCGGGUGUCGCUUAUUCGACUACUUGCGAAGGAUCGUCAUAGGUAUUUGAAAAGAUAUUCCAUAAUAAUAAAACUGUUGAAUUGUUAUAAAAUAAAAAUACGAAAAUGGUUUAUUAAAAAAGUUAUUUAGA